GGGGAGAAAAAAAUAAGUCCAUUCCUUGUUUUUUGUUUUUUUCCCCUCUCUCCUUUCCCCUCUCCUGGCAAGCAGCCGGUGGAAAAUCCAUGCCGGGUUUUGCGUGCCGCCCGCCCCCCCUCGGUAGAAAUUGGAAAAUUCAAUAAUUAAAGCAAAAUGGAGAGACGGAGCGGUGGUGGGGGGGGGGGGGUGAAAAAAAAAUCCCGGAUCAGGGCAACUUAGAUGGCGCAUGCGCGCUCCGAACCCUCCAUCCCAAACACAAGACAAUUUCCCUGUACUUGGAAAGUCACCCAAAGCAGCUCAAGUGCAGAGCAAAGAGGCCUCACGACCCACAGGGAACCCAUCAGACUUGAGCUGCAUCUGAAGCACCCUGGAGGGGGGGUUUCUGGAUCCUGAGAGUCCCUCCUUUAAGUGUGGUUUGGAAUGGAUUUCAAGUUCAGCCGCCUCCAGGCACAAGGAUGAAGUGACUUCACAGCGUUCAUUCAACACAAACAAUUUGCGGAAUCUUGAUUCCAGAAUUCUCAAAAGGUGGGAGAACCCACCAGGACCACAAAUGGGUAAGUUUGCCCACGCGGGAUACUUUUCUUCUUACUUUUUUUUUUUUUUUUUGGUGUGUGUUACUCGUAUGUGUCUGUUAUCAGUGUGGUGCUUAGAUUCAUCCCAUGGCCUUCUCCGAUGCUUUAUACUUUUCCCGGAGCCUAAAAGAGAGAAUAUAAAGCUGCAGGAAGAAAGGCCCAGCCAGCAGCCACCUGGGUUUCCUCUGGCAAAGAGAAACUCGGGGCUUGGCUUCCUCCUGAUGCCACGCGACGACUGUCUCUGCUUGGGCCUGUGCUGUGCCCGAGUGGCAGCCUGCUCUCUCGCGGGGAAGGAAGGGGAAAUACCCGCUCGAGUAAUUAUUAGUUAAAUGCUUCCCCGUUUAUAAGAAGCUUUGCACCGCAGGAUUUGCCGAUCGCCUUUCAGGAGGCAUCCGUUUGAAAUCUUAGCGGUCAGCAUCUCAGAUUAAGCAGGCCACCUGUGGACAUUUUGAUUUAGGAGGCUUCCUCUCAUGUUAGGUGAGGCUGCCUUUCUCCAAAGCUAAGAAUAGAAUAGA
This is a non-coding RNA of Pantherophis guttatus, 1090 nucleotides long. Lineage: Eukaryota; Metazoa; Chordata; Lepidosauria; Squamata; Colubridae. The record is from RefSeq and is a predicted model, not a curated record.